Long non-coding RNA from Strongylocentrotus purpuratus (purple sea urchin), 247 nucleotides. RefSeq lists it as uncharacterized. The transcript is spliced from 2 exons. The record is from RefSeq and is a predicted model, not a curated record. NCBI's taxonomy places the organism in Eukaryota, Metazoa, Echinodermata, Echinoidea, Camarodonta, Strongylocentrotidae.
AUUGUCUGCCCGAUUUCGUUUUAACUUUCACCAAUCUGCUUUUCUGAUUUUCCGCUUUGUUUCAGAAUAAUUUGCUAUUAAGGUUAGAUUUUCCUUUAAUGCGAUUUACAAGAAGUCUCUAGGAUGGAGUUUUCCUGUCUGUUCCUAAAUUUCCCGCAUUAAUAAAUCCAGAAUGAAUCAAUCGAAGAGAAUAAAAUAAAAAGACAGAGUUAACCUUUAUGUGGUGGGACAAAGAAUAAAGGAGAAA